RNAcentral lists this ribosomal RNA (472 nucleotides) under uncultured bacterium. Its description in RNAcentral is "bacterial SSU rRNA". It matches the Rfam family "Bacterial small subunit ribosomal RNA", at positions 355 to 825 of the family's 1533-position model. The record is from RNAcentral.
UGGGGAAUAUUGGGCAAUGGGGGAAACCCUGAUCCAGCGACGCCGCGUGUGUGAAGAAGGCCUGCGGGUUGUAAAGCACUUUCGGUGGGAACGAAAUAUGCCGGGCUAAUACCCCGGUAGGCUGACGUUACUCAAUGAAGAAGCACCGGCUAACUCUGUGCCAGCAGCCGCGGUAAUACAGAGGGUGCGAGCGUUAAUCGGAAUUACUGGGCGUAAAGCGCACGUAGGUGGCGACGUAAGUCGGGUGUGAAAGCCCCGGGCUCAACCUGGGAACCGCAUUCGAGACUGCGUUGCUGGAGUACGGAAGAGGAGGGCGGAAUUCCCGGUGUAGCGGUGAAAUGCGUAGAUAUCUGGAGGAACACCGGUGGCGAAGGCGGCGUCCUGGACCAAUACUGACACUGAGGAGCGAAAGCCAGGGGAGCAAACGGGAUUAGAUACCCGCGUAGUCCCUGAGCGGGCUGGCAAGGCGCAU